Zalophus californianus (California sea lion) is the source of this 147-nucleotide small nuclear RNA. Its record names the gene U4. It matches the Rfam family "U4 spliceosomal RNA". Rfam says of the family: U4 small nuclear RNA (U4 snRNA) is a component of the major U2-dependent spliceosome. The structure of U4 snRNA from yeast and human has been reported. U4 snRNA presents a k-turn RNA motif in the 5p-SL related to recognition of Snu13 protein. The record is from Ensembl. NCBI's taxonomy places the organism in Eukaryota, Metazoa, Chordata, Mammalia, Carnivora, Otariidae.
AGCUUUGCGCAGUGGCAGUAUCGUAGCCAAUGAGGUUUAUCCGAGGCAAGAUUAUUGCUAAUUAAAUAGCAUUGAGGCUAAAAUUCUCCGUAACUGAACUAGUUUUCUAUUGUUGCCUUAACAAAUUAUACAAAUUUAAGCCACUAA